RNAcentral lists this long non-coding RNA (278 nucleotides) under Capsicum annuum. RNAcentral describes it as "long non-coding RNA (CANN_LNC015494)". Lineage: Eukaryota; Viridiplantae; Streptophyta; Magnoliopsida; Solanales; Solanaceae. The record is from RNAcentral.
UACCUUUCAAAUACCUACGCUUAAUCAUUUUCAACCUACCAAGUCACCAAGCAUAACCACUUUCAAAACAAAAAAACACCUUUAAAGUCCCUAUACUUAAUCAUUUUCAUCCUACCAAGUCACCAAGCAUAACCACUUUCAAAACAAAAGAUCCACCUUUAAAGUUCCUACACUUAAUCAUUUUCAACCAACCAAGUCACCGAGCAUAACCACUUUCAAAACAAAAAAACACCUUUAAAAUCUCUACACUUAAUCAUUUUCAACCUACCAAGUCACCA